Molecule: ribosomal RNA, 485 nt
Filed under: uncultured bacterium
Lineage: Bacteria
Description: partial 16S ribosomal RNA
Rfam family: Bacterial small subunit ribosomal RNA
Source: RNAcentral
AUUGAACGCUGGCGGCAGGCUUAACACAUGCAAGUCGAGCGGGGGAAGGUAGCUUGCUACCGGACCUAGCGGCGGACGGGUGAGUAAUGCUUAGGAAUCUGCCUAUUAGUGGGGGACAACAUCUCGAAAGGGAUGCUAAUACCGCAUACGUCCUACGGGAGAAAGCAGGGGAUCUUCGGACCUUGCGCUAAUAGAUGAGCCUAAGUCGGAUUAGCUAGUUGGUGGGGUAAAGGCCUACCAAGGCGACGAUCUGUAGCGGGUCUGAGAGGAUGAUCCGCCACACUGGGACUGAGACACGGGCCAGACUCCUACGGGAGGCAGCAGUGGGGAAUAUUGGACAAUGGGGGGAACCCUGAUCCAGCCAUGCCGGGUGUGUGAAGAAGGCCUUAUGGUUGGAAAGCACUUUAAGCGAGGAGGAGGCUACUUUAGUUAAUACCUAGAGAUAGUGGACGUUACUCGCAGAAUAAGCACCGGCUAACUCUGUG